Molecule: long non-coding RNA, 1473 nt
Filed under: Homo sapiens (human)
Lineage: Eukaryota; Metazoa; Chordata; Mammalia; Primates; Hominidae
Description: HSALNT0133692
Source: RNAcentral
CAGCAGAAAGGACAACCUUUGCUGGCUUCAUACAAGCACUAACCAGUCCGUGAAUCACCAAUUCCCUAUGAGAUGUAAGCUGGAUUUGUUGGGCAAGCCUUCUAAGACCGCUCCUUCCAAGGGGAGGAAAGAGUGGUAAGCGCCCUUUUGUUCUCCCUCUUCCUUAUGCCUGGAAUUCAGAAGAUGGAGCUGGAAGUGAAGCAGCCCUGAGGAAUUGUGAGCAUCCCAUAAGCUAGCGGGGCAAAGCUGAAAGCACCCCUUACCCACCACAGACCUCCCACCCCCACCCACCAUCUUCACAUGGGGGAGAAAUUUACACGGGUCAGGUUACUGAAUUCAAGUUUUCCAAAUGUCUAUAGCAUAUCGCAUUAGGCUUUAGUUAACACUUACUUUGACUAACCCCCUAAAACACCAUUUCAAAACGUAAAGCUCAGAAAUAAAUUACUUACAUGUUCUCUAGUCUUUUACAGCACCAUCUCUUAAAAACAUGCACAAAAACAGCACCUGCUUAGCAGUGCCAUCUUCAACUCCUCAAUUGUUUUGUUUUGUUUGUAUUGAUUAUAUUCUCUUAUUAUCUGUGUUCUUGAUACUCCCGUAUUUGGGGCCUUGACUGUGGAGAGACUGUUCCUCCCUGGGCUGGCUAAUUCCUAGAGACAGAAAACACCCCUGUGCGAGCGUGCCUGUGAUAUACAAACCAACCAAUCCAGAGCCACAGCAGUGAUCUGAACAUCACUUACUGCAUGUAUGACCUAGAAAAGUCAUCUUUAAGAAGCUGGUUUAUCCAACAUCCAACACCUGCACCUCCGAGAGCACUUCCCCAGAAAGAAUUACUAAAUACAGGGCCUCACUCUGUCAUCCAGGCUGGAGUGCCGUGGCGUCAUCUUGGCUCACUGCAAUCUCUGCCUCUCAGGUUCAAGCGAUUCUCACACCUCAGCCUCCCAAGUAGCUGGGAUUACAGGCAUAUACCACCACGUAUGGCUAACUUUUGUAUUUUUAGUAGAGACGAGUUUUCACCAUGUUGGCCAGGCUGGUCUCAAACUUCCGGCCUCAAAUAAUCCAUCCACUUCAGCCUCCCACAGUGCUGGGAUUACAGAUGUGAGCAACCGUGCCCAGCCCCUAAGUAAAUUCUUAUACUGACAACUGGAUAAUAUGAUUCAGAAUGUAAUCAAAAUAUUAGUGCAACUGAUGCAAAUGAAAUAAAUGUCCAAGAAGUCAGUGAUAUGUAUCUGUUUUGUGCACUAUUGUAUCCCCAUGUCACUGAGAACCCCAGAAAGUACCAGCAUCAAAUUGCAAGGUCAAGAUGGCAUAAAACACGGUUGCAUGUACUGGGCAAGAAGCACUUUGAUGGUGAGCUGAGAAACUGCUUUCGCCAUGUACUGAGCCUGGGAUGGAAUCAGAAUCACAGGGUGCGGGGUCAGCAUGGGAGCAGGAAGCAAACAGAGGGAUGGGCUUAAGGGGCUGACCUGAGGGGGU